This 559-nucleotide ribosomal RNA is filed under the name uncultured archaeon. RNAcentral describes it as "bacterial SSU rRNA". It matches the Rfam family "Archaeal small subunit ribosomal RNA", at positions 99 to 660 of the family's 1478-position model. The record is from RNAcentral.
CGUGGACACCUACCCUUAGGUCGGGGAUAAACCCGGGAAACUGGGUAUAAUACCCGAUAGUCCUCGGAUGCUGGAAUGCACCGAGGUCUAAAGCUCCGGCGCCUAAGGAUGGGUCUGCGGCCUAUCAGGUAGUAGUGGGUGUAGCGUACCUACUAGCCUACGACGGGUACGGGUUGUGAGAGCAAGAGCCCGGAGAUGGAUUCUGAGACACGAAUCCAGGCCCUACGGGGUGCAGCAGGCGCGAAAACUUUACAAUGCUGGAAACAGCGAUAAGGGGACCUCGAGUGCCAGGUUACAAAUCUGGCUGUCGUGAUGCCUAAAAAGCAUUGCAUAGCAAGGGCCGGGCAAGACCGGUGCCAGCCGCCGCGGUAACACCGGCGGCUCGAGUGGUAACCGCUAUUAUUGGGUCUAAAGGGUCUGUAGCCGGCCGGAUAAGUCUUUUGGGAAAUCUGGCAGCUUAACUGUCAGGCUUUCAGAGGAUACUGUCUGGCUCGAGGCCGGGAGAGGUGAGAGGUACUUCAGGGGUAGGGGUGAAAUCUUGUAAUCCUUGAAGGACCAC